UCCGUACGGGGAAGGAUGAGAAGCUUCGACUAAGGUUCGAUUCGAGCGCAGCGAGAAAGCGUUGCCGCAGGCAACGACCCGAAGGGCGAAGCGCGCAGCGCUGAGUCAUCCUUCCCCCACCACCA
Molecule: small RNA, 125 nt
Filed under: Salmonella enterica
Lineage: Bacteria; Pseudomonadati; Pseudomonadota; Gammaproteobacteria; Enterobacterales; Enterobacteriaceae
Also listed under: 4 other names
Description: partial RtT sRNA
Rfam family: RtT RNA
About the family: This family represents a bacterial cis-regulatory element known as RtT RNA. The exact function of RtT is unknown although it is thought that it may be involved in changing the cellular response in relation to amino acid starvation.
Source: RNAcentral